AAAAAAUUAGUUAAAUCUAUAACGUAAGAUUGUCAAUCUUAAAUUAUUUUAUAAAUAUUUUUUA
RNAcentral lists this transfer RNA (64 nucleotides) under Scirtidae sp. GENSP02. RNAcentral describes it as "tRNA-Asp". The record is from RNAcentral. Lineage: Eukaryota; Metazoa; Arthropoda; Insecta; Coleoptera; Scirtidae.